Molecule: ribosomal RNA, 398 nt
Filed under: uncultured marine eukaryote
Lineage: Eukaryota
Description: SSU rRNA
Rfam family: Eukaryotic small subunit ribosomal RNA
Source: RNAcentral
UAUGCUUGUCUCAAAGAUUAAGCCAUGCAUGUCUAAGUAUAAGCGACUAUACUGUGAAACUGCGAAUGGCUCAUUAAAUCAGUUAUGGUUUAUUUGAUGGUACCUACUACUUGGAUAACCGUAGUAAUUCUAGAGCUAAUACAUGCAGGAAGACCCGACUUCGGAAGGGUUGUAUUUAUUAGAUAAGAAACCAAUCCAGCUUGCUGGUUGCGUGCCGAGUCACAAUAACUGCUCGAAUCGCAUGACUUUACGUCGGCGAUGGUUCAUUCAAAUUUCUGCCCUAUCAGCUUUCGAUGGCAGGAUCGAGGCCUACCAUGGCGUUUACGGGUAACGGAGAAUUAGGGUUCGAUUCCGGAGAGGGAGCCUGAGAAAUGGCUACCACAUCCAAGGAAGGCAGC